CCAUGCCGAACUCAGGUGGUCCCACCUGACCCCAUGCCGAACUCAGAAGUGAAACGCCGUAGCGCCGAUGGUAGUGUGGGGUCUCCCCAUGCGAGAGUAGGGAACUGCCAGGC
Molecule: ribosomal RNA, 113 nt
Filed under: Salmonella enterica subsp. enterica serovar Kentucky
Lineage: Bacteria; Pseudomonadati; Pseudomonadota; Gammaproteobacteria; Enterobacterales; Enterobacteriaceae
Source: RNAcentral